This 460-nucleotide ribosomal RNA is filed under the name uncultured Sporacetigenium sp. RNAcentral's name for it is "bacterial SSU rRNA". It matches the Rfam family "Bacterial small subunit ribosomal RNA", at positions 8 to 497 of the family's 1533-position model. Lineage: Bacteria; Bacillati; Bacillota; Clostridia; Peptostreptococcales; Tepidibacteraceae. The record is from RNAcentral.
AGACUUUGAUCCUGGCUCAGGAUGAACGCUGGCGGCGUGCCUAACACAUGCAAGUCGAGCGAGGAAUUUAUUCCUAGCGGCGGACGGGUGAGUAACGCGUGGGUAAUCUGCCUCAUACACACGGAUAACAUACCGAAAGGUAUGCUAAUACGAGAUAAUAUUAAGAAAUGGCAUCAUUUCUUAAUCAAAGAAUUUCGGUAUGAGAUGAGCCCGCGUCCCAUUAGCUAGUUGGUAAGGUAAAAGCUUACCAAGGCGACGAUGGGUAGCCGACCUGAGAGGGUGAUCGGCCACACUGGAACUGAGACACGGUCCAGACUCCUACGGGAGGCAGCAGUGGGGAAUAUUGCACAAUGGGCGAAAGCCUGAUGCAGCAACGCCGCGUGAGCGAUGAAGGUCUUCGGAUCGUAAAGCUCUGUCCUCAAGGAAGAAUUUUGACGGUACUUGAGGAGGAAGCCCCGGC